Molecule: long non-coding RNA, 399 nt
Organism: Vidua macroura (Pin-tailed whydah)
Lineage: Eukaryota; Metazoa; Chordata; Aves; Passeriformes; Viduidae
Exons: 3
Source: RefSeq, a predicted model, not a curated record
CUGAAAUUACACUUGUGUCUGCCUGUCCUCAGCACCACACGCUCCUUCCAUUUCUCUCCUGCCAGCACUGAUGCUCAGAAUUCCCUUAAUUGUCCUAAAAACUGCCUCCAGGCAGCCAGGGAUAGGAUCAAUAAUCCAAACUUGAGGUCACCUGGAGGCAGCCAGAUCCCUUCUCCUGCCCUGCCCAACAGCCAGUGAGGAGCAGGCAGAGGCCACCAAGACCAGUAACCCACUGGGACUGGCCAGUGCUGGGUGCCACAGGAACUGUGUGAGAGCAGGUCUGCAACAACCCUUCCCUCACAGGCUCUCUGAAUGCUCAAUGCACAGGUGGAGACAAGAAGUACCCGCUGGUGAUUUGGUGCUGGUUUAGCAGGAAGGAGAUGGAACACGAGGCCUCGG